Long non-coding RNA from Tachyglossus aculeatus (Australian echidna), 475 nucleotides. RefSeq lists it as uncharacterized. NCBI's taxonomy places the organism in Eukaryota, Metazoa, Chordata, Mammalia, Monotremata, Tachyglossidae. The record is from RefSeq and is a predicted model, not a curated record. The transcript is spliced from 6 exons.
ACGGAAGACGACUAGGCUCACGGCCUGUGCCAGAGCGUCUGCAUUCUCCUGGCAAUGACAAGGCCCCCCCAAAAAAUGCAGUGAUGGGGAAAGGACAACUGAGAUUCCUGCUUAGGAGGAACCGCCCAGAGUUAAGAGACUCGACACCACAACCCGGAGAAAACAGCGGCUCUUGGGCAAGCAGGUUCGGAAGAUCUAGCAUCACAGAGCCAGGAGUCUUUCAGAGGUUCCCGGGAGUCAAGGCAGAUUGGGCCACUAAGGUGCUUUAAGUUUGGGGCUGGAGUACCCUGUUCUGAAAACCUGACUAUUUAGAAGUCUAAAGAACUGAGAAUUCGACCAGAGCAGGACUGUGCAGUAUCCACAGGGGAAGUUACUAAUUCCACUGCAGCACUUAGUACAGAGCCCUGGCCGGGGACGUCGGGAGCACUUACCCUGAGGAGGCUUCUGCUGGCUUUUGACAAAGUCGGCUCCACAC